GGGCCGUUAGCUCAGUUGGUAGAGCAUCCGGCUUUUAACCGGAGGGUCGUAGGUUCGAGCCCUACACGGCCCA
This 73-nucleotide transfer RNA is filed under the name Acidobacteriota bacterium. RNAcentral's name for it is "tRNA-Lys". It matches the Rfam family "tRNA". From Rfam's summary of the family: Transfer RNA (tRNA) molecules are approximately 80 nucleotides in length. Their secondary structure includes four short double-helical elements and three loops (D, anti-codon, and T loops). Further hydrogen bonds mediate the characteristic L-shaped molecular structure. tRNAs have two regions of fundamental functional importance: the anti-codon, which is responsible for specific mRNA codon recognition, and the 3' end, to which the tRNAs corresponding amino acid is attached (by aminoacyl-tRNA synthetases). tRNAs cope with the degeneracy of the genetic code in two manners: having more than one tRNA (with a specific anti-codon) for a particular amino acid; and 'wobble' base-pairing, i.e. permitting non-standard base-pairing at the 3rd anti-codon position. Lineage: Bacteria; Pseudomonadati; Acidobacteriota. RNAcentral also lists the same sequence under 2 other names. The record is from RNAcentral.